This 501-nucleotide ribosomal RNA is filed under the name Triticum aestivum (bread wheat). RNAcentral's name for it is "partial small subunit ribosomal RNA". The record is from RNAcentral. Lineage: Eukaryota; Viridiplantae; Streptophyta; Magnoliopsida; Poales; Poaceae.
AUGAGGAAACAAUUAUGGGAAUUUAUGAUUACAACGUAUGAUAGUAGUAGAAAGCGAUUUAUUAUUCGGCCAAAUACUGACGGCAUCAAUGUUCUUAAUGAAUAUGUUUAUGACAUAUUCGGGCUACGUAAUGAGGGUGAUGAUGUUAGUAGCAUGAUAGCAACAGUACAACUAGAUGCCAAAAAAAUUGUUCCGAAUCGGUUUCUAGACAAAAGAACAGGCCUAAUCCUCAUAGAUGAGUUGAUAGAAAAUAUUGUUGAUACUCAGUCAUAUGAUGAUGAUUUUGUGAGAAGGGCCGUACUGGUUCUUUUGGGUACAGUCUUAACACCACAAUCCACCAAGUUUGUUCCUUAUCGUUAUUACAAAAUGGUGGACGACGUGAACGCUAUCAAGUCAUACAAUUGGAACGAUUUCACGUUGGGGGUGUGCAUGGAUGCUAUUAAAAAAUCAGUCGAAGAUCUUGAAAAAUUCAUAAACGUUACUAUCACGCAGUACAUAUAA